Molecule: ribosomal RNA, 380 nt
Filed under: uncultured eukaryote
Lineage: Eukaryota
Description: partial 18S ribosomal RNA
Rfam family: Eukaryotic small subunit ribosomal RNA
Source: RNAcentral
CAAUAGCGUAUAUUGAAGUUGUUGCAGUUAAAAAGCUCGUAGUUGGAUUUGUGGCUGUCACGGGCGGCCUAUCACUUAGUGUUAGUGCUUGCCUGUGUCGCCAUCCUUGGGUGGAGCCCGUGUGGCAUUAGGUUGUCGUGCGGGGGAUGCCCAUCGUUUACUGUGAGAAAAUUAGAGUGUUCAAAGCAGGCUUAUGCCAUUGAAUAUGUUAGCAUGGAAUAAUAAGAUAGGACCUCGGUACUAUUUUGUUGGUUUGCGCACCGAGGUAAUGAUUAAUAGGGACAGUUGGGGGUAUUCGUAUUUCAUUGUCAGAGGUGAAAUUCUUGGAUUUCUGAAAGACGAACUACUGCGAAAGCAUUUACCAAGGAUGUUUUCAUUAA